GCCCGGGUCCUGUAAUCCUUAUGGGUGACCAACCUUGUGCCUCCGGGAGAUCCACACUCCCACCUGGAAACACGCGGGAAACCAAGCCGCCAAAAAAGCGCUGUCUUUUAGCUCCAAGGUGGGAUUAUCCAGAAGGAACUCCUAACGGAGGUAGUACCCCUCUCCCUUCCGCACCUACUCCUGCAUCACCGGGCCUGAAGUCGCACCCACCUCCUCCGGAGAAGUAGUACAACACACUUCUCCCACCCCAAACCAGGAAGCACAGAGGAUGAACCAAGUCAUUCUGCCUGGUAGUAAUCAUGAUCCAUCAAAGAGGAAGGGGUAACUUUGGGUGGGCCUUAAAAAGUGAGUGAUGUCUGCCAUGUGGAGGGGGAGGGAAUGCUUUUCUUCGGGCCUAGCAUUUCCAGAACAAAAGCUCCAAGGCAGGUUUGUUCUAGGAAAAGCUUGGCUAUAAUUCUGAAUCUAUGAGAAUAAUUAGGAGGUGAAAUAGAGUAUUGCAGAGCCUUGAAUGAUAUGCUAACGAGUAUGCAGUUUAAUCCCUAAGUAGUGACAACCAUUGAAGAGUUUCAAGAAAGUGAUAUAUUUUAGGAAUCCCGUUCACUGUUAGAAAAAAUCUUCGAUUUAGAUGAACUUAUAGGAUGCAAAAAAUAAAAUCUGAUCCAAACCUCACAAAUUCUUGUAAUCCGAAAGGGCAUCCUUUCCUCAUUCAUGCGGUAAACCCUUAAGGAGCCCUUUCAAUGGACUAGGCAUUGUGCUAGGAGCUCUACGGAAUGGAUAACCAAAGCAUAUAGGAGUGAAACAGUGGCAGCUAAGGGGGUUCCAGACUUGGGGUUUGAUAGUGGUGCAUAGAAAAAGAAUGAGCUCUGUUGUGCUUGAAAGUAUUACCCAGUCACAUUCCUUACAGCCUGAUUUCCCUCAACUUCACCUCUGUCCAAAGGGUGGUGGUGUGGGAGUAGUGGGAAACCAUAGGGAUAGCACCGCUCAAACAGAAAAUGAAGUUGUUUAGGUCAAGAAGUGCAAGAGCUACAUAAUUGCCUCCAGUGAUUCAAAUCAUUGAAAAUUAUACUAAUAGCGAAUAUUUACUGAACAUCUUUAUGUGCCAGGCACUGGUCUACAAUGCCUCCCAGAGUUUGUUCUCUUAAUUGCUAAGCAAUAGUUCCCUCCUAAUACUGUCUAUAUAACUUUUUUUGGGGGGGGGAGUAUGUUAGAGCAUAGGGAUUUGAGGAGGCCAGGGGAAAGAGAUAAACAGUAAAGAAGAAAUGAUUUCACUUUAUUUUACUAUUUUUCAGUCUUUGAGGGAUUGCAGUAUGACUCUAUUUCCUUGGUAUAUGUGCUGCCGAAGCAAGCACCUGACUCUGUUUCCUUAGUGCAUUCAUAAAAUAGUUCACUCAGUGAAGACAAUGAAGAUUAUUGACAAUGCUACCCUGCUUUUUCUGAUGUUCUACACCAGGAAGUUGUGAUUUUUAAGGUAAUCUCUUUACCAAAAACUUAUUAAAAGAGGGAGAAGAAUAAGAGUUGAUUAUGACACAUUAAAAAUAACUACCCCAGAGUUCCUUUGUGGUGCAGUGGGUUGAGGAUCUGGCGUUGUCACUGCAGCAGCUCAGGUGGCUGCUGUGUUGCAGGUUCGAUCCCUGGCCCUGGAAUUUCCACAUGCCACAGGCAUGGCCAAGAUAAAUUUUUAAAAUGAAGAAAUAAUUACUCAAAAACAAAAAGCUAGCACCAAAUGAUAAAAUUUAAAUCAUUUCUACAUUAUAUGAAACCAUAUGUAUAUACCAUAUAAUAAUGUUAUAUAUAAGCUGUUCUGUUAGAUUCACUCCUAAUUACCUUAUGGUUUUUGCUGUUACUGUGAAAUACACUUUUUAAACCACAUUUUCAGAUUAUUGCUGGUAAAUGGGAACAUGAUUGAUUUUUUUUAUUUACAUGAUUGAUAUUUUUAUAUACUGAUGUUAUAUACCGUAACCUUUCUGAAUUCUAUUUGUUCCAAUAAUUUGUAGAUUCUUUGGAUUGUAUGUUAAUUAGUCAUAUUGUGAAUAACGACAGUUUCUUCCUUUCCAAUAUUGGCUUUUUAAAUUUGCCUUACUGUGCUAGCUAGAGUCUUCGGUACAAAAAGAAAUAGUGGCAGUGGUAGAGGAUUUCCUUGUCUUGCUUCUGAAUAUACAAGGGGAUUCUAUACGUGUUUACCAUUUUUAGUAGGUUUUCUUUUUCAGGUUAAAAAAUUUCCUUUGUAUUCUUAGUUUGCUGAGAGCUUUUAUUAUGAAUGAAUGUGGAGUUUUAUCUCCAAAUACUUUGUAUCUACUCCCCGAUCAUAUGGGUUUUUUUUCCUCCAUUAAUACGACAAUGUGACUGUGUGAUGAAUUACAAUAAUCGAUUUUCUAAUAUAUUUCCUUCUUUUGGUUUCAUCAGUCCUCACCAUUUAAUAUUUUGUCUAUUUUAAUAAUUUUUCCUUUUAUUUUUUCUUUACUAUUUGUUUGCUGUAUUUCUAAUCGAUUUAUUUUAAAUCUUUCCUAAAAUAAGAAUUUAUAACUAUAAAUGUUCUACUAUGUACCACUUUAGAAGAAUUUCACAGGAUUUUAUGUGUACUAUUUUAUUAUUAUUUCCUAAUUUCUUUUAUGAUUUCUUUUUGAUUCAUGAAUUAUUUGGUUCUUUAAAAAAUUUACAGACAUAGAGGUCUCUUUUUUAGAAAUCAUAUUGUGACAUCAUUAAUCCAGUUAUAGUUAAACUUUAUCUUUUUUUCUGCUUUAAAAUAUUUAAUGUGUUUUAUUCAUCUGGUAACAUAAAGCAAAUUUAUAUACUGGCUUCUCAUCCCAAAAGAUUUUAGCAAUAUAAAACUUUUUCUUCCAUUAAAUGGAAAACUGUGAUUAUUCUAUUCAGUGAUGGAGUUAUUGCUCAUAUUUAUACAUGUGUUAUUAAACUUUUUGUUUUAAUCUAAUUUUAUGCUUAAAGAAAAAUUGUGAGAAUAUUACAAAGAAAUCCCAUAUACCCUUUACCUAGACUCACCAAUUACUAUUUUUCCAUGUUUGCUUUAUCAUUCUCUAUUUCAGUUUGUGUUUCUCCCUCUCGUCCCAUUUUUUCCUCCCCUCCUCCCCCAAUCACUUCCCCUCUCUUCUACUUUCUCCUCUUCCUUUCUCAACUAUUUGAGAGUAACUUGCAGACAUCAUGCUCCUUUAUCUGUCAAUACUUCAGUGUAUGUUUUCCUCCAAAUGAUGCCAAUCUCUUACUAACUUCAGUACAUGUGUCAAAAUAGAAAUUUCACAUUGUUUCAAUUUUUUGUUUCAUAAACCUUUAUUAUCAAGAUUAUAUACUUAUACUCACUGAAAAAGGAAUGUGUUUGGGAGAACAUGUAUUUCAAAUGGAUAAUGUAAGGUCUAUUUUUGUUCCUUUUUUCCAGCUUCAUUGAAACAUUUAACAUAUAGUGUUGUAAGUUUAAAGUGUACAGUGUGAUGAUAUGCUACAUGUAUAUAUUGCAAAAUGAUUACCCACAAUAAGAUUAGUUAACACAUCAGUCAUCUCACAGUUAUGAUUUUUUUUGUGUGCGGUGAGAACUUUUAAGACCUCUCUCCUAGCAACUUUUAAGUAUACAAUACACAAUUGUUAACUACAGUCACUGUACUAUAGUAUUAACUAUACUAUAACUAUAGUUAUAUAACUAUAUAUACUAUAACAGUAGCAUUAAUUAUAGUAUACAUCAUGCUGUACAUUAAACUUCCAGAAUGUAUUUAUGUUAAAACCAAAAGUUUAUUUUAUUUUAUUUUUUUAAUUAUUUCCCCAAUACAAUUACAACUGAAAGUUUAUACCCUUUUAUCACCUUCACCUUUCCCCCACCCUCCCAACCCCUGGAAACCACCAAUCUACUGUUUGUGUGAGUUCAGACUUUUUUUUUUAUGUUCCAUAUAUAAGUGAAAACAUACAAUAUUUUUCUCUCUCUGCUAACUUAUUUCACUUAGCCUAAUGCUCUCAAGUUUUAUCUAUUAUGUCAGAGAUGGCAGGAUUUCCUUCUUUAUAUAGCUGAAUAAUAUUCCACUAUAUAUAUAUAUAUAUAUACACACCACAUUUUCUUUGUCCAUUCAUCUCUCAGUGGACAUUUAGAUUUUUUCCACAUCUUUGUUAUUGUAAAUAAUGAUGCAGUAAACAUAAAGGUUGAAAAUAUCUCUUUGAGAUAGUAAUUUCAUUUCCUUCAGAUAUAUCGAGGAGUAGAAUCGCUGGAUCGUAUGAUAGCCCUAUUUUAAUUCUUUUUUUUUUUUUAGGAACCUUCAUACUGUUUUCCAUAGUAGAUAUUUCAAUUUACAUUCCUAUCAAGGAAUGUGCAAGGGUUCCCUUUUCCCUGUAUCCUCACCAGCAUUUAUUACCUUCUGUUUUUGUUAAAGCCAUUCUAUCAAGUGUGAGAUAUCUCAUUGUGGUUUUGACUUGCUUUUCUCUGAUGAUUAGUGAUGUUGAGCACCUUUCCAUGUACCUAUUGGCCAUCUGUAUGUCUUUGAAAAAAUGUCUGUUCAAAUAUUUCUCACCUUUUUGAGUUGGAUUGUUUUUCCACCGUUGAGUUGUAUGAGUUCCAUAUAUAUUUUGGGUAUUAAUUUCUGAUCAGUUAUGUGGUUUAAAAUACUUCCUAUUCCAUACUUUAUUUCAUAAAUAUGCUAUUUCUGUCAUUUAUUUUAAUGAUCAAAUUGUCCCAGUGGCAAUCCAUUCAAGCUGGAUUCUCUAUGCAUUUGACACAUUCCCAUCAUUCUUUGAUACAUACUUUGACUUCAGCAUUUCCUUACUUUCUUGUCUUAUAUUUCCUGCUUCAUUAACCAUUUCAGGCUUGUCUUAUAUUUCCUGCUUCAUUAACCAUUUCCCUAUGAAUUUAUGGUACUUUUUAGAGGGACAUGGUAUUUAAAAACCAAGACAAAAAAUACAUUGAUUUUUUUUUAAUUUUUUAAAAAUUUUUAUGCAAUUUUAAAGAUUACUUUCCAUUUACAGCUAUUACAAAAUAUUAGCUAUAUUCCCCAUACUGUACAAUACAUUCUUGAGCCUUUCUUUACCCUCUAGUGUACACCUCCCAAUUCACCACCACUAUAGUACCCCUCCCCUCUCCUCCCGCUGGUAACCACUAGUUUGUUCUAUCUAUGCAUCUGCCCCUUUCUGCUCUUUUAUUGUUAGUGUAUAGAAAUCUAGCAGAUUUCUGUGUAUUAAUUUUGUACCCUAUGACUUUACCAAAUUAAUUGAUGAGCUGUACUAGUUUUCUGGUGGCAUCUUUAGGAUUUUCUAUAUAUAGUGUCAUGUCAUCUGCAAACAGUGACAGUUUUAUUUUUUCCUUAGGGUAUAUGGAUAUUUUCUAGCUUGACAUUAUGUUAUUCUUUCCCAUUUAAUUACAUUUUGUACAAACAAUGUAGUUUACAUGAUACUGACUAUAUAGUAUUUAUUGAGACAUGCUUUAUGUUCUAGAGAACAUUAUCAAUUUAUUUGUGCCUGAAAAUGUUUUGUAUAUUCUAAUUGUUACAUGUGCACUCUGUAAAUGUCCAUCAAACUUGCUGACUGUCUUGUCAGCAAGAGUGACAUUAAAAUUAUCUUUUAUAUCACUCUUAAUUCUGUUUGUUUGCUAGAUCUUUCAAUUAUUGAGAAAGAUUUAAAAUCUCCCAGUGAUGGAGUUCCUGCUGUGGUGCAGUGGGAUUGGCGGCCUCUCUGGAGCAGCACUGGGAUGCAGGUUUGGUCCCUGGCCUGGCCCAGUGGGUUAAGGAUCUGGUCUUGCCACAAUUGUGGUGUAGGUGGCAACUGCAGCUCAGAUCUGAUCCCUGGCAUAGGAACUCCAUAUGCUGUGGGGUGGCCAAAAAAAAAAAA
This 5811-nucleotide long non-coding RNA is filed under the name Sus scrofa (pig). RNAcentral's name for it is "lncRNA (ENSSSCG00015005894.1, ENSSSCG00030059298.1, ENSSSCG00040013747.1, ENSSSCG00060076917.1)". Lineage: Eukaryota; Metazoa; Chordata; Mammalia; Artiodactyla; Suidae. The record is from RNAcentral.